Molecule: ribosomal RNA, 465 nt
Filed under: uncultured bacterium
Lineage: Bacteria
Description: partial 16S ribosomal RNA
Rfam family: Bacterial small subunit ribosomal RNA
Source: RNAcentral
CUACGGGGGGCAGCAGUGAGGAAUUUUGCGCAAUGGGGGAAACCCUGACGCAGCAACGCCGCGUGAGUGAUGAAGGCCUUCGGGUCGUAAAACUCUGUCAAGUGGGAAGAACCUAUGUAAGGUUAAUACCCUUAUGUACUGACGGUACCACUGAAGGAAGCACCGGCUAACUCCGUGCCAGCAGCCGCGGUAAUACGGAGGGUGCAAGCGUUAUUCGGAAUUAUUGGGCGUAAAGGGCGCGAAGGCGGUUUUGUAAGUCAGAUGUGAAAGCCCGGGGCUUAACCUCGGAAGUGCAUUUGAUACUGCAAGACUUGAGUAUGGGAGGGGGAAGUGGAAUUCCUGGUGUAGAGGUGAAAUUCGUAGAUAUCAGGAGGAACACCAGUGGCGAAGGCGACUUCCUGGACCAAUACUGACGCUGUGGCGCGAAGGCGUGGGGAGCAAACAGGAUUAGAUACCCUAGUAGUC